This 497-nucleotide ribosomal RNA is filed under the name uncultured bacterium. RNAcentral's name for it is "partial 16S ribosomal RNA". It matches the Rfam family "Bacterial small subunit ribosomal RNA", at positions 28 to 507 of the family's 1533-position model. The record is from RNAcentral.
GAUGAACGCUGGCGGCGUGCCCAAUACAUGCAAGUCGAGCGAACAGACGAGGAGCUUGCUCCUCUGACGUUAGCGGCGGACGGGUGAGUAACACGUGGAUAACCUACCUAUAAGACUGGGAUAACUUCGGGAAACCGGAGCUAAUACCGGAUAAUAUAUUGAACCGCAUGGUUCAAUAGUGAAAGACGGUUUUGCUGUCACUUAUAGAUGGAUCCGCGCCGCAUUAGCUAGUUGGUAAGGUAACGGCUUACCAAGGCAACGAUGCGUAGCCGACCUGAGAGGGUGAUCGGCCACACUGGAACUGAGACACGGUCCAGACUCCGACGGGAGGCAGCAGUAGGGAAUCUUCCGCAAUGGGCGAAAGCCUGACGGAGCAACGCCGCGUGAGUGAUGAAGGUCUUCGGAUCGUAAAACUCUGUUAUUAGGGAAGAACAAAUGUGUAAGUAACUAUGCACGUCUUGACGGUACCUAAUCAGAAAGCCACGGCUAACUACGUG